RNAcentral lists this long non-coding RNA (957 nucleotides) under Pogona vitticeps (central bearded dragon). RNAcentral's name for it is "lncRNA (ENSPVIG00000013102.1)". Lineage: Eukaryota; Metazoa; Chordata; Lepidosauria; Squamata; Agamidae. The record is from RNAcentral.
AGAGGAAAAAGGAGAAGGAAGAGAAGCUCCACUCGCCUCACCGGAGGCGUCACCCUCCCGUCCCGUAAGUAGUUCCUGAGGCCCCUGCCGAGUGGGGAGGGAGGAGGCGACCCCUGCAAAGGAGGGGUCAAGUCUCCCCAUUUUUUAAAAAUAUGCCACGCAUCCUUUUCCAAUGGCUCGGAUUAGAUUGAGGGCCAACGAUCACACAGUGGUGGGAAGGAGCAGAGGCUGGAAUAGCUGCUGGGUGGAGGUUCUUGGAGUCGUGGUGGGAAAAAAAACAACCCACAUUCCCUUGGGAUGGGAUGGGAUGGGAUCAGAUCUGUUGCAACAAACCCCACUCUCUGUGGUUACAGCCCCCCUCGCCCAGAGCACACUGUGAAGGGUCAGGGCUAUGAGCAGCUCCAUCCGGCCUCCCGGCAUGCCCCACAGGGUGUGUAUCUGCACGCCAGUGACCUGCACCCUGGGCCGAGGAUCCAUCAUGAGAAGCGUUACCAGAAUGUGAGUGGAUCGUUUCAUGGAUCCAAGUGAGUAGGGGGAAGUCCGUACGGAUCCUGCCAAGCAUCGUAGGCAGAGGGGGAGGCGGGGAGGGGGACUAGGUGGGGAACAAACUGCCCGAUCCCCAAAGCAUGCACCUAGGACCCUGUUCCCUUUUGGGGGGGGGGAGUUGUCCCUCUGGCCGCUGACUGCUGGGGGUGUUUUUCUGUGCCUCCUGUCUCAACAAAGUGAGAAGAAACCUCAGUAGUUGAUGAACACAACGGGAAAGAGGAAGCUGGCCAGUCCGGUUAGCAGCCAUGUCUCUUCCCGAGGGGUUCCGGUUGGCUCCCUUGCCAGCCCAGACCGGAGAUCCUUCCCUGCCAUGAGUUCUUGGCGGUCUCACCUCGGAGGACAGGCCAGGCCAGACCUUGCUUAGCUUUGGAACUCAGAGGAGAUCAGUGCGUUCCGGUGGUGUACAGGUUU